This 72-nucleotide transfer RNA is filed under the name Capra hircus (goat). It matches the Rfam family "tRNA". Rfam says of the family: Transfer RNA (tRNA) molecules are approximately 80 nucleotides in length. Their secondary structure includes four short double-helical elements and three loops (D, anti-codon, and T loops). RNAcentral also lists the same sequence under 1 other name. Lineage: Eukaryota; Metazoa; Chordata; Mammalia; Artiodactyla; Bovidae. The record is from Rfam by way of RNAcentral.
UCCCUGGUGGCUCAGAUGGUAAAGAAUCUGCCUGCAAUGCAGGAGACUCGGGUUCAAUUCCUGGGUUGGGAA